UGUACGUUUACAAUGUACAAUGGCUUACAGUGCAAGUGAUCGUGAGGCAACAGCUAGGCAACCAGCUCCAAGCAGAAGAGUAACAGUCACUGUUCUGCCACCAGGGUUUAUGAGUACGAGUGGAUGUAUGCAAACAGGAAGUACAACUUCUGACACGACUCGUACUCCUGCUCCGACACCACUAACACAAUCUCAAAUUUUGUACCGAGUAAAGAUCAUCAACCCGGCAAAAAAAACAGACAUGGUUGUUAGAGACAUGAGGACUUUUCAUAGCCAUUUCUCAUCUAUGACAGAUAUGAAGGUCAGGUUAAUGGAAGAAUUCAAGAGUCAAGUACCAGCAACAACAUCAUUUUCAAUGGGUUACUUUGCUAGCCGCCCAUCUGCUAAAUAUUGGAUUUACACAGAAGAAGAUUUAGCUUCGAUGUAUAGCAAGUCUAUCACUCAAGAAAUUAUGUUGUGGUGUGAUGGCCGAAAUGUUACUGAUAGUGAAACUCCAAAUCCUAAGCGGCGAAAGAGGCGAAAGACUGGAGAAGGGUGUUUGUCAAGAAGAGAGGAAAAGGAGCUUGAGGUAGAAGAGUUAACAAAAGAAUUGAAGGAACUGAAUAAAGAAAAAUUAAAUUUAAGCGAAGUGCAGUACCGUCUGUGGGCUCGCAUGAUUACAACAGGGAUCCAUUCAAGUAAAGAUACACCUCCACAAGUCCCUAUGAUUACUGGUAUUACUCCAAAAAGGAAACAAAGAAAGGAUGACUUGACAAUGUCAGAUACUAUUGCGAGCACUGCGGCAGCCGUUGUUAAGGCAAUAAAUUGUGUUUCUCCAGUCACCCAAUCAGCUACUAUUCAACAGACUAUUUUAGAUUCAUGUACACCUACCAGACGUUCAAACGAUUUAUCACAAUUGGGAAUUUCCCCUGGUAAAGCCUCUGAAAUACGUGGAAAAUCCUUUGGACAGCUAUGCACUCUCAAACAGUUGUAUGAUGACUGUGUCUUAACAUAAGAUGAGUUUGAAGAGCAAAAGCGAGAUAUUUUAUUCGGACUGAAAAGGCUUCAGUGACAUGAAUAUAAUGUACUUGCAACUUAGUAUGUUGUAUAAUUAUGUUAUUUAUGCCGUUUUGUUAUUUGUACAUAAUAAUUAGUGUUUGUAUUCUAGUAUAUUCCUAUACUUGAAAUCCAGGCUUGACAAUCUGCUACUGUUAUUGUUGAAAAUGCAUAUAAUACAAUAGUUUCAAUAUCAUCGAUUGCUUGCAUUUCUGUUUCCAAUGAUCUCAUCAUAUACUUGACUUUCGAAAAAGCUAGUUCUAUGGGAUUAAAAUCCGGUGAGUACGGAGGCAGGUAAUGACUGACCGAUCCAGCAUCACUGAUAACUUGCUCAACUUCAGGCACAUGGUGGAUGGAACAGUUAUCCAUGAUGACAAUACUAUUUUCGUUAGUACCGUUGAAUGGCAAAAGAUGAGGAAAAAGGGAAGUGCACACAAAAUCAUAGAAAUGAUCACCAUUUACACCACCUUGUACAAUUUUCAAUCCUAUAAUUCCAUUAAUCGACAUCGCCGCAAUGGCAGAAAUAUGUUCUCCUCUCACAAACAAUUUCUGGGCUUUCAAUGGUUUGCCUCUCAAGCUGUAGCCAUACGUGCGUAUAGAAUCCCUUGCGUCGGUGCCUGUUUCGUCAAUAAACACAAGAGAACUCUUUUCAUACAAAGAAACAUCAGUUACAAAUUCAUUUCGGAGUAAAUCGUCUCUCUGUAAGGCAAAUGUAACCAGCUUCUGCCUUGUAAAUCCGCUUUUUUUCAGCAUCUUACACACAGCGCUUUCACUCACAUCUAGCCCAAGUGUUGACUUUACUUCACUUGUGAUUUCUCGGAGGAACAUCCCCGGCCUUUGGAGUAUGAGAUGGAUGAUGAAGAGCUGCACUGGUUCUGUGAUUACCCGAAAUGCUCUCUGAACUGGGUAUUCUUUUUUGGCAACAUCUCCAGUAGUUCUAAAGAUGUGCAUCACUCUCCAAACAGUUGACACAUCAAUGUUGAGAUUAUGAGCUAUCACUGAUGGUUUAUAAAGAAGAGCCUCACUUUGCCAUAUGAUCCUCCAACGUAGAUCUUCACUGUAAGCACUAGAUCUCUUUGAUUCACAAGAAGUAUUAGUAGCCAUUGCUCAAAUUCAAACAGAUCUACUGCGCAUGCGCGUGAACAGAAUAAACCUAUUGUGGGCUCAUUUUGCAAGAUCUUGGAAAAAUACAAUAAUACACAGUACUUCAAGUUAGGGACAUUAGGGACAUUAAUGUCCCUAAAAUGUCCCAAACCUAGGGUUAACGUUUUUGGACUCUCUCCUUUUAGUAUGUCGUUCUUAACACAUAUAUGUACACAUUACUGCAAUAUGGGGACAGUUGGGAAUUUAUUAAGGGAGUUAGGGGAAAAAUUUUAGUAUAGGUAAAGGGUCAUCAUUUGAAGAGUUGUCUCUAGAACUGCUUGUUGUAGAGGUCUGUGGGCACUGAAAACUGGUCUGUGUGUACUGAGUGGAAGCUGUUGGAAGCUGUUGUCUGAGUUGCUGUCAAGAGUCAAGAGUGGUGCUGUUGUAACUGGUGGGUCUGUGUGGAAGCUGUUGUCUGAGUGGAAGCUGUUGCUGUCAGCUGAGUUGCUGGUGCUAGAGUUGCUGUCAUGUGUGAGUGUGUGUGAUGUGUUGAGUGUGUGUGAUGUGUGAGUGAUGUGCGAGUGUGUGGAUGUGUGGUGUGGUUGUAAACAUAAUGUUUUGGCUCAUAGCUAUUGAGGAGUAUCAGAGGGAGGUGCGGAGGUUGAGAGCGUACAACACUCGCCUCCAGCGUCAUAUAAGAGCAUUUGUGGGUUAAGGGGAAGACCAUCUGUGGCUUUUAUCCAAAGCCUUAAUUCACAAAGCCUUAAUUCACAUUUAAGUGCUCCUGUCAAGGUUCCUCCACACUUGACUGAUCCUCCUCCUGUCAAGGUUCCGGCUAAACCUGAGGUCAACGCUCCUGACAUAAGUCCACACUUGACUGAGAAAAAGGUUCCUCUGAACCCUGACAUAAGUCCUAAACCUGAGGUCAACGCUCCUGACAUAAGUCCACACUUAACUGACCCUCCGGCUAAACCUGAGGUCAACGCUGUCCCUCCUGUCAAGGUAAGUCCAGUAAGUCCACACUUGACUGAGAAAACUCCUCCGGCUAAACCUGAGGUCAAUGACUCCGUACCUCCUGUCAAGGUUCCACACUUAGCGAAACCUGAGACUGUCGAGGUCAAUGUAGAGAAACCUCCUCCUGGUCCGCGAGUCCGAAAGUCCGAAAGUCAGCAGUGUGUUUACUGAUUCUAGUGAUGAUUCAUCUGAUUUUGACAACCAGUAUGACAUGGAGGUGGACGAACCUGGGCCGAUUCUCAUACAGAGUGACAACAGUAAACAGGAACAAUCCUCUCAGACACCACUGACUGAAUCCGAUGAAGACAUAGCAUCACAGAUGGAAACUGAAUCUCCUACGCUGGCUGACACCUCCCAGACAUCACAGACACUGGCUGACACCCAAGAGACGGUCUCCUCUCAGACGCUGGCUGACACCUCCCAGACAUCACCGACACUGGCUGACACCCAAGAGACGACGCUGGCUGACACCUCGCUACUGAGUCAGAGUGGAGAGGCAUCACAGACUACCACCCAGACCUUGGAAGAGACCUUGGAAGAGACGGUACCCAGGGGUAGAAAGAGGUUUAUGCCAGACGAGCCCCCUAAGCGCUACAAGAAGGUGUGCCCUAUGCCAGGUUGCUACUCGAAACAACAGAUUAAACUAUCAAAUCACCUCAUCGCAAUGCACCCAGAACUCUCUGUUGAGGAGAGGAAGGAGCAACUCAAACUUGCCCUGAGGUAUGUGCCUGAUGGGCGAUCGGGGGUCCGGCAAUCAGGGCACUACUCGCUCGAUUCUUACUUCCACCCCCCAGAAGAAGAAGAAGUAGAGGAGGUGCUAACUUCAACCCUUCCUCUACCUACCUGUAAAAAUUUGGGUCUCUACAAAGCUUUAAAUAGGUCAAGCGUGGACGUUGAAGAAACUCACCGAACGUUCAUUUUUUACAAUGAAAUUUACUGUCUACGUGAGGGGAAUUUCCCUAUUAUUGUUAAUUAUUUUUAACAAAUAAAAGAUGACAACUUGUACAGGACUAUUUCAUCAGCCCAGUACUUACAAUCAUCAAGAGGAGCCAGGUAUAUUAUAGCUCCACUUCUUAACAAACAUAAUUUAGCAACAGAAAUAGAUUAGAAAGAGCAGCUAUCUAGCUAGCUAGCUUGGCGCGCGUAGAUCCACUCUUGUUUCUUUGGAUGUACGUAUCCCGUGCCACUUGUCCUCAUAAACACUCCAUAACAACCUACAGAUAAGUAGUAAGUUAAGAUAGACACAAUAUCAAUGUCACUUACAUUCUAGCCAAUAGACUAGCGUUUCUCAGGCCUCCGACACUUACCACCACCUGGGGGAAACCAUCAAUAUAAAUGUUAUACGACAAUUCCACGCAGUUUCCUGGGCCCUCCAUGAUGUGAUCACCCAUCCCAUCAGGCCUGUUACUACUAAGCACAAUGGCAGUGAUACCAGUACUAAAUUAAAGGAGGAAAGCUCCUUAUAAGGCUACUAAUAAGUUGGAUCAAGCCUUAGAUCGAUAUGGACGAAUACUAAGUGAAAGACUACCUAUAAUAGAUCACUUAGGCUUCCUUUAAGCUGUAUGAAGGACAGAGACACUUUCUGUAGGCUCCAUACAAGUGAGGGAUCUUUUAUAAGACUGAUACAUUACACAGAUAUAAGUACAAGCUUAUAACAAGACAUGAGAGCUUACCAUUUGAGCGACGGGAGUCUUUGUCUCUUUAUUUCUUCGAAGAUCCUUCCUAGGUGCCAAGCAAUCCAGCUACAUAGCUAUACUAGCUAGCUAGAGAGUCCUAGAACGCCUAGCCUUCAUCUAACUAACUUGUCUUCUCCAGAACAUCUUUUACUAAGCUUUAUGAGUAUACGGAGGAUCAGUAACGGUGUUCGCCUCCAACUUUUAAUUGCUUCCGGAAGCAGGGGCGUAGCUUCAUUGCAUACUGUAGCUAAGUGACCUUUGACCUGCCCUUAUUUGUAGAAAAAAAUUAAUGAUACUGGCUGAAGAAAACAGAUGAUACUGGAUGGAUAAACUGAUCCAAAACUGGGAUGAUACUGAUAAUAAGAAAAGUGAUGUUUCUGGAUGUGAAAACAAGGGAAAGUGAUAUGAUACUGAUGUUCCUGGAUGGAUGAAAACAAUGAAGAGUUAAUUAAUCGAGUGAAUAAUACAAUCAUGAUUGAUGGAUGGACAGACAGAUAGAUGAUUUUGGCUUAGACUGGAUACUGCAUGUGUGGCAAUGUCAGCCAUUACUUGGGUAAAGGCAGCUUGUUUUGAUUGAGGGGUUGACAGUCGCUCUCUCCACAUGAACUCGUCAAGGUAUGAUGGCAACUGUUGUUCUGUCACCCCCCACAUCCUCUUCAGCUUGAUCUUAAUUCUAUUCCAAUAGCUCUCAAUGUUUUGUGUGUGUACCCCUGUGACGCUGUUCACAAACUCAAUACUGUGGUUGACGGUGCCAUGGGAUCCAACAUUUGGCAACGAUGCUACAUUAUUGUAAGCGGCCCAACAGUCGGAAUGUAUCACUGUGCCUGGUUGAACAUGUGCCUGUAUUAUAGGCAAGAGUGUGACUGCUCUUCUAUCUGCCACUAACUGGACAAAGCCAGUGGCAGGGGUUGUUGACAUGUCAGCCAACCCAAACACCCACAAGUCACUCCUGGGUCGCCUACCCCGUCCACCCUAUUGUGUUUAAGUGUUUACAAUAUUAUUGUGAGCACAAUUUUACCUUAGGUUUGUGUCGGAACAGACUUUCAUCGAUCUGAACAAUAACACCAGCUCCUCCAAGACGGAUAACAGUUGCGAUCAGCUUUGCUGAGCAUACCUCUCUGAGCCAUUGGUAUAUAUCACACCCCGUGGAUGGUCUCACCUCAGCCUCCAUUGCCAUGUCUGUCACAGGGUAUUCUCUGGACCACCACAAAAUGGCUACCAACCACUGUUGGAGAGUAAUCCUACUCUUAGAGAAGAAACUGAGGUGUCUGAUGCUCCUGGUGGUCUUACAUUGUGGGAAGGACCAACAGACGCCAUCCGAGCCUGCUGAAGACCUUCGCCAUUCGAUCAUUGGAAUAGCACACCUAUUUUUGUUUAUUAUUUUGAUCACACCUAUUUUUCCUAAUUAUGCUUAUUAUGGAUAUCCCUUAUUAUAAUAUAAGAUACCUACCUUGUACAGUCGCAGGUAGUUGCAAGCAGUCCUUUACCCCUAAGAUAAA
Molecule: RNA transcript, 6307 nt
Organism: Halichondria panicea
Lineage: Eukaryota; Metazoa; Porifera; Demospongiae; Suberitida; Halichondriidae
Exons: 8
Source: RefSeq, a predicted model, not a curated record